This 439-nucleotide ribosomal RNA is filed under the name uncultured bacterium. Its description in RNAcentral is "partial 16S ribosomal RNA". It matches the Rfam family "Bacterial small subunit ribosomal RNA", at positions 338 to 795 of the family's 1533-position model. The record is from RNAcentral.
CCUACGGGAGGCUGCAGUGGGGAAUAUUGCACAAUGGGCGAAAGCCUGAUGCAGCAACGCAGCGUGAGCGAUGAAGGCCUUCGGGUCGUAAAGCUCUGUCCUCAAGGAAGUUAAUGACGGUACUUGUGGAGGAAGCCACGGCUAAUUACGUGCAAGCAGCCGCGGUAAUACGUAGGGGGCUAGCGUUAUACGGAAUUACUGGGCGUAAAGGGUGCGUAGGUGGUUUCUUAAGUCAGAGGUGAAAGUCUACGGCUCAACCGUAGUAAGCCUUUGAAAAUGGGAAACUUGAGUGCAGGAGAGGUGAGUGGAAUUCCUGGUGUAGCGGUGACAUGCGUAGAUAUUAGGAAGAACACCGAUUGCGAAGGCGGCUCUCUGGACUGUAACUGACGCUGAGGCACGAAAGCGUGGGGAGCAAACAGGAUUAGAUACCCCUGUAGUC